Molecule: unclassified non-coding RNA, 1173 nt
Filed under: Hevea brasiliensis (rubber tree)
Lineage: Eukaryota; Viridiplantae; Streptophyta; Magnoliopsida; Malpighiales; Euphorbiaceae
Source: RNAcentral
UAUAUAUAUAUAUAUAUAUUCCAAACAUCACUUCCCUAAAGACAAAAUGAAUCUGGGAAAAGCACAAACUAACAAAUAGAACAAAGAAUAUAUGAAGGGACUUGUUCCGGCAGCGCAAUACCUGCCCCCUUGGCGUUUGAUAGCAAUGCAAGAACUCUUUAAGAUUUGGGAUCAAGUAUAGAACUUAGAUGAUCGUCGACUUUUCAGUUCUUUUUAUCUGAUCCUUUAAGGUUAAGGUUGAACCAUCUUUUCUUUGAUGACUUGUCUUUGGAGUCUGAGCUUCCAUCUUCCCCUGGACUAUCGGUUUUAUAAUCUUCGCCAGGGACUUUACUGCUACUUCCAUUACUGAAAUGCCCGCUUCCACUGCCGCUUAGAUUAGCAAUUGACCUUGAAACUGUGAAUGAAGAGUGUAUACUGUCUCUUUGUUUCAGCAUCUCAUCGACAGACAGCUUCUCUUGGCUGUAUCUGUUGGUUACUUCCUGGAAGUGUGCCAAUGCCUUUCUAUAUUCGAUUUCAAACUGCCGAAGCUCAUUUCUCUUCCUCAAAAUCUGAGCCUCGAUUUCCUUGAGCUUAACAGUAGUAUCCUCAUAUGACUUGGCACAAAGAGCCUCAAUAAUAUAAGUAGCUGGCUUAAAGAAAUUAUCUCCAUAAACAGCGAAUAUGUGAGUGCCAGCUUUUAGUUCUGAGACCUCACAAGGUUGAAGGCCAUCCAGUUUCUUAAAGAAAGCAGCUUCAGGGUCCUUAGCCAUUGCUAACGCAUUUACAGUUGAAUCCAUUCUGUACACCUGAAAAUGCAGGAAAUACAUUCCUGCUGACGUUACUUUACCUGUUUUUUCACUAUCUUCCUGCAAAGCCAGGCCAUAACCUCCAUUUGCAUCUUGUUCAAAAUACAGUAGCUUAAACUUGCUUUGAGCUGCUGAAGUAACUCUAACUACAAGCCCUGCCUCCGCUUGUUCAUUGCUAAUCGUUACACCGAAAAAAUGGGCACUUUGCUUUUCAACCUUUCCACUAAGAGACGUCCCGAUUGGAAGAGGGCGGAUUGUGACAGUUCCAUUCAAAGCUUCUUCAAGAACAUUAGCAGACACAGUCGUUUUGAUGGGAACACCCAACUUGCUGAACAAUGCUGCAAACAUUGUGUUGACAGUUCCAAGAUUAGACAAAUCAAUUUCCAUA